This 253-nucleotide ribosomal RNA is filed under the name uncultured bacterium. Its description in RNAcentral is "partial 16S ribosomal RNA". It matches the Rfam family "Bacterial small subunit ribosomal RNA", at positions 524 to 776 of the family's 1533-position model. The record is from RNAcentral.
UACGGAGGAGGCAAGCGUUAUCCGGAAUUAUUGGGCGUAAAGCGUCCGCAGGUGGCACUUCAAGUCUGUCGUCAAAGACUGGGGCUUAACCCUGGAAAGGCGGUGGAAACUGAAGCGCUAGAGUGCGGUAGGGGUAGAGGGAAUUCCCGGUGUAGCGGUGAAAUGCGUAGAUAUCUGGAGGAACACCGGUGGCGAAGGCGGCAUUCUGGACCGAUAUUGACGCUGAGGAGCGAAAGCCAGGGGAGCAAACGGG